This 90-nucleotide transfer RNA is filed under the name Brevundimonas albigilva. Its description in RNAcentral is "tRNA-Ser". It matches the Rfam family "tRNA". Rfam says of the family: Transfer RNA (tRNA) molecules are approximately 80 nucleotides in length. Their secondary structure includes four short double-helical elements and three loops (D, anti-codon, and T loops). The record is from RNAcentral. Lineage: Bacteria; Pseudomonadati; Pseudomonadota; Alphaproteobacteria; Caulobacterales; Caulobacteraceae. RNAcentral also lists the same sequence under 1 other name.
GGGUGGUUGGCAGAGCGGUUUAAUGCACCGGUCUUGAAAACCGGCGAAGCUGCGAGGCUUCCGAGAGUUCGAAUCUCUCACCACCCGCCA